This 1053-nucleotide small RNA is filed under the name uncultured fungus. RNAcentral's name for it is "eukaryotic LSU rRNA". The stretch from base 619 to 1053 matches the Rfam family "Eukaryotic large subunit ribosomal RNA", at positions 1 to 429 of the family's 3401-position model. The record is from RNAcentral. Lineage: Eukaryota; Fungi.
UCCGUAGGUGAACCUGCGGAAGGAUCAUUAUCGAAUAAACUAGGUGGGUUGUUGCUGUCCCUCUCGGGGGAAUUGUGCACACCUUACCUUUUUUGUUUUUUCCACCUGUGCACACACUGUAGGUCUGAAGGAGGGGAAGGGGGGGUUUUGUAACCUCCCCUGAAACACUUUCAGGUCCUAUGUAUUUUACACAUACACUAUUAAAAGUAACAGAACGAUUCAAUGGGCUUCCAAGCCUAUAAACUAUAUACAACUUUCAGCAACGGAUCUCUUGGCUCUCGCAUCGAUGAAGAACGCAGCGAAAUGCGAUAAGUAAUGUGAAUUGCAGAAUUCAGUGAAUCAUCGAAUCUUUGAACGCACCUUGCGCUCGUUGGUAUUCCGACGAGCAUGCCUGUUUGAGUGUCAUUAAAUUCUCAACCUCAACACUUUUGUGAUUGAUGGCUUGGAUGUGGAGGUUUUUCUGCAGGCUGUUAAAGUCUGCUCCUCUCAAAUGAAUUAGUGGGUGCCCCGCGCAAACCUAUCUAUUGGUGUGAUAAUUAUCUACGCCGUGGAUUAUAGGAUUGCUGUAAAAAGGUGUUUGCCCUGCUUCUAACUGUCCUCUGGACAACUUGAACCAUUUGACCUCAAAUCAGGUAGGACUACCCGCUGAACUUAAGCAUAUCAAUAAGCGGAGGAAAAGAAACUAACAAGGAUUCCCCUAGUAACUGCGAGUGAAGCGGGAAAAGCUCAAAUUUAAAAUCUGGCAGUCUUUGAUUGUCCGAGUUGUAAUCUAGAGAAGCAUUAUCCGCGCUGGACCGUGUACAAGUCUCCUGGAAUGGAGCGUCAUAGAGGGUGAGAAUCCCGUCUUUGACACGGACUGCCAGGGCUUUGUGAUGUGCUCUCAAAGAGUCGAGUUGUUUGGGAAUGCAGCUCAAAAUGGGUGGUAAAUUCCAUCUAAAGCUAAAUAUUGGCGAGAGACCGAUAGCGAACAAGUACCGUGAGGGAAAGAUGAAAAGAACUUUGGAAAGAGAGUUAAACAGUACGUGAAAUUGCUGAAAGGGAAACGCUUGAAGU